RNA transcript from Lotus japonicus, 7579 nucleotides. RefSeq lists it as uncharacterized. Lineage: Eukaryota; Viridiplantae; Streptophyta; Magnoliopsida; Fabales; Fabaceae. The record is from RefSeq and is a predicted model, not a curated record. The transcript has 7 exons.
UAGGAAGAACAAUUCUGUAGGAUUGGGUACUUUUCUCCUUCCUUAGAGCACAAACCCUAAGCCCCCAAAAUUAUCCCAAAAGCCUUUUCACUUGAAUGCCAUAAUUUUCCUUUAUGAGUGGGUAUGUCAAAUGGGUCUUGAUGUGGAUUUUCAUUGGAAGUGGAAGAUGAAAUCUACUACAUCUUAUUCUUGAGUUACUAUUCAUACGAAACAACCAAUGAGCUUCCGCCACCUAGCCUUCUUUUCUUACUUUUUUCUUUUCUUUCCUGGAACGUGGGAGACGACAUCGUUUGGCUCUCCAUCACUGUUUCUCUCCGUCUCCAAGCAAGCCCAGCUUGAUGUGCGUGUUGCCUCUGCCUUUCUGCCCACUUUGUUGUACCUUCAUCACCUUUUGUCAGCGUGCGUGCGUUCGUUGGCCUCAUCUAUUGCGUCAUCGCUGCUGGUCGUUUCCGGAAAAGGUGGGAAAUAAGCUUCACACGUUUCCAGUGGCUAUUGUGAAAGAGAUUGAUGUUGCCCGCUUCCAGCUGGAGUUGCUUUUCACCAGUACAUUGCUCAUCUAGAUUAGAUGUCAUCCAUUCUUAUGAGGACACAGGCCAUGCUUUUCCUUUUCCUUCUCAUCCAAUUUUGCGGAUUGGUCAAAUACUUCGCCCUCAAAGCUUGCUUUUCCAGAUUUUCCGCAAUCUUUCACCAUCUCCACUCUCCAUGCUUUGUUCGUACGAGUAGGUGCUGUCAAGUCUUUGGUGAUGUCAAGUUUGGAGCUGAAUUUGAAAUUCAAAUUGCAAAGUGUUCAUUCUUGCCUCAGAGGUGGAAGAGCCAUAGCAACCAGCUUUGGACCCCUUCACUGUCACGCCACCUGCUAUGGAACAGGAAUUGAAUCAUUCUCAAAGCUCGGAGAUUCUAUCUAUUUCGAACAGGAAGGGAAAGAUCCUGCUCUUUACAUCAUUCAGUACAUAUCAAGCUCAUGUAAUUGGAAAUCUGGGGGCAUCUUGCUCAAUCAGACAGUGGUUCCAGCUUCUUCAUGGGAUCCUUAUCUUUAUGUGACAUUUACGUUUUCUCCUCAUGAGAAAACUGGUACUUUAUCUGCAUUGAAUUUUCGACUACCAUCUUGGACUCUUACAGAUGGUGCCGAGGGGAUAUUAAAUGGUGAAACUUUAUCUCUGCCAACUCCAGCUGAUCUUGGUGGAUGGACAUGUGUUAUUGUGGAGAAAUCUUUUGAGUAUGGAGUUGAUAACUAUGACCUUGGAGGAUCUAAGCUCUUUGAAAGAUAAUAAAGUUGUUAACAUGGGAAAUGAUUGUGUUUUCUGCUAUAUUUUCCCUGGUCAAUAAACAUAUUUGAAGCAUGUCUUAGAUGCCAUUGAGGAUGUUUUAUACCCCUUUGAAACAUAUGAUGUGAAAACAAUUAGAGCAAGCAUACCCAUAUUUCUAAUGUUUAUGAAGAUUAAAUCACUUUAUGCCAAGUGGGUAAUCUCUGGAGAAGGAUCUGAUGAGAUGUUUGGUCGGUAUCCGUACUUCCACAAGUCACCUAACAAGGAAGAGUUUCACACAGAAGUAUGUCACAAGGUCAUGGACUUAACAUGUUCUUUACUGAAAUUUCGUGCAACACAUUUAGGCAGAAAGAAAAAUUCAAUGAUUUUAUACUUUUGAAGGUUACUUUGGUAGCGAAUGUAUACUUUGGUCAUGACACAUGUUUUUUCAAUAAAAGGAAUUGUAUAAAAUUUUUGGGUGGAACUUAGAAGUAUGUAGAGAACUGCAAUGAUAUCUAUUUCUUAUUUUUAAUGCAAAAUUGGUUUAUUCAAAAGGAACACAUUCACAGCAAUAGUGAAACCAAAUUUCCUCUUUGGUUGUUACAGCUUUUAUGUUGUUUCUUUACCACCAAAUUGUUGUGUCCCACCGUUUUAAUAAAAUAAUAAAAGAUGUUUCACACAUUCCGUAUGUUCGUAUGGUUCUAUACUUAGCAUUCUACUCAAAAAAGUUUUUUCACACACCCAUAUGUUCGUAUGUUAGUAAGAACUUUAUCUUUAAGGAAGUUUUCUAAAAUAUUUACAUCAUCAAUUAGUUUGUAUGAUUUCCUAACUUUUUUUCGAUAAGGUGGGUACUAAUUCAAUUAACCAGCAUUUGAGCAACAUAUUAUAUACUUUAUUCAUACCUUUUUGUACGAAUUAUUUAUUUAUCUUUUAUAUGUAAAAUUGCGUUGGAAAUCACAGCCAAAAGCUCCAUACUAACCGUAAAAGGCGAACCAAACCUAAUAUUGCACAAUUAUCCAAUUAAUAUUUAUAAGUAAGAUGAAAGGGAAGAUAAUAAUAACACUGAAAAUUGUAUGUUUUAGUAAAUAUAUCAUUCUAUUGCUCCAUAUAUAUCAAAUACUCAAUGAUUAUAAAUAACAAUUGAUUCUUAAACACAUAGAGGUUAAACAUAGCGGCGGUUGCAAUCAAUGCUAAACCAACAAAUUGACAGACGCUAAACGAGCGAAUUUUUGUAGUGGCGCUUAUGAUGUGUUUCACAAUGUAGUAGCUCCAUAUAUAUCCAAAAACCAUCUCCUACCGGUCAUCCCUAAUUGGCCCAAUAACUUUUAUUUCAUGUUAUAGUUUUUUGUGACUUUACUUGACAUGUACAUCCAAUAUUGUGCAUAACAACAAUCAUAUAGAGGGUGUAGCUAUUACAAACUUGAAAACUAUAUAUCCAAGUAAUCUCCACUCAGUUCAAAAAAAAAAAGUAAUCUCCACACCGAAAGUGAGAUGUAUAAACAUCUAUAGAAAAUAAUUACAAUCAAUAACUACGUCAUUGCAGUAUUCCAUAUAUAUCAAUACUCAUCUAAACUCAAUCAUAAUAAUUAGUAGUUAAUUCAAACGAAAAUUCCCCGUGCAUCGCACGGGUAAACGGGCUAAAAACUAGUUGGUUAGAAGGGAAGGAAUCAGAAGCUGCUGCGUGAAGGGAGAAGAAAUUCUCAUGGAAGAGAAAAGACAGAGCACGGUUUUUUUUCUGAAACAAUUGGGAAUGGGUAUUGUGCAACGUGGGUUUGAGAGUGAGUAGGUUUAGUAAAUCUGAAUCUGUUUUUAUUUUUAUUUUUGUUAUAUAUAUAUAUAUAUAUAUAUAUUUUUUAAAACUUCAGAGGUGGGUAACGUGGUUACUGUUUCUCUCCAUUUUACUUUUCUUUCCUUGCCUUAUCAUUUAUAUAUAAUAAUGAUGAUAAUAAUCAUAGUAACUAUAAUAAUUAAUACCAUAACUCAAUUAAACGAGUCGUUUCACCAGCAUGGACUUCAAGUUCUCUUCUCUUCUGGACAAAUUGGAACUCCUUUUAGUUCAGGAAAAACCAACCCCGCGUAAUCCCCCACCAGGCUAUGUUGGCAGCCCCCUCCUAGUUUUUACCCAUAUUCCUUUUCUCCAUUAUCCAAAACCCUAAAACUUCAACUCAACUCCUUUGAUGGUUCUAGUUCUCUUGAUUGAGUAUUUCCAGCAGGGCGGUUUCAAGGCCCGGCAAGCCUGGGCACUUGCCCGGGCUGCCUUUCAAAAAGAACAAAAACUAAUUUGGGCCGCAGGCCCUUUUUGAACUGAUUUGGGUAAAAAAAGAGAUUGUCUCCGACGAAGGCCACCGAAUUCGAGUCACUUCCUCACUCACUCUUGAUUCCAUUCCAUUCUCUCACCUUUGCAUUUCGAGGAUCUUCUGCUUGUGGUUGUCGUUGCCGGAUCAUUCGAUUCGGUAAUUUUUUUUCUUUCGUGUUCAAAUGCGUCCAAACCUGAAUUCACUUCAUUCGUAUUUUGAGACCAAUUUCUAGGGUUUAACUCAUUUAUCUUGUGAUUGUGCUUUGAAUGCUCUAAUUCCAGAUCAGCCCGAAAAACCAUGUUGUUCUUGAGCCUUUAUAUAUCAAUUGCAUCAUGUAUUGGUUUUUUUUUUUAUAGGAAAAUGUUCGUUGUUAGAAAUGUUAGUAAAUUAGUCGUCCUCAGGGUUCGAACCCUGACCCAUCACUCUUCAUCCCACCAACCCUUAUGUCCCGAGCUCUUACCACUUGAGUUAUCAUUCGGGGACAACAUCAUUUAUUGGUUAACUAUAAGAAUUUUCAUUCCAGUAAGUUAGAAAGAGGGUAGAUUUGGCGUUUGGUACUUGUUUUUGGGGAAGAAAACGACCAUGUCAGUGCCUGGUGUUUUCAAUUGUGAUCUUUUCAUAAAUUUGGAAGGCAGUAGCAAUUCAAUGGUAAAAAAAUCCUCUGCUGCACUGCAUAUGUUAAUAAAUUAUCUGUCAGAUUUGUAGUGAUUAAUCUUCCUCCUUGUCAUAAAUAAUUUGAUAUUACCUCUAUCAUUUGUCACUUUUCUCAUUUUCUUGUUGAAGUUGUGCACCUUGAAUGGUUUUCAUUCAGUCAGAUGACCAAAAUGAAAGGUUUUGUUUGGGUACUUUGGGUUUAUCAUGUGGAAAUUCUUGUUGGUUGCUUAUAGUUGUAGCAAUUGGGUAGUGAGAAAUAGUUAUAUAGCAACUCGACCCUUUUCUUGUAUGAGGUCAAAGCUGAGGAUCAAUCCCCACCUUUACUCCAGCAAGGGACUAAAGCCAUAUUUAUGGCAAAGAUUUGGGACUAAAAACUGGAUUAAGCCAAUACUCAAUUAGCUGGCUAAAGGUCCAACCUAACUUAUCAGAUAUUUUCCGUGAACAGACAUGAAACCGAACUGAAUAGAGCCAGACAUUAUCCUUCAUGUGUCCGGUGAAUGCAAACCUAGUAAUUAAAUGCUGAUGGCAACUGGGACCAACUUCAUUUUCGAGAUUGGAGGUCUGAUCAGAUGGUCCAACACUAGAAAUUGAAAUCACUAAUUUUUUAAAAUCAUAUAUGACCAGGUACAGAGUUGGUUCUGCUUGUGACUGAAUGACUUCUUUGUAAUCAAUCUUACUGUUAAUGCUAAUGAUUCACAUGUAAGUUAAGUGCGGUAAUAGAUUUUAAAAUUUAAGAUAACCUUGACAUAUAAAAAAAUGCAUCCAUCUCUUUUAUGUGAGAGUGAGAUAAGAAGCAAAUUAAUCAUGAUCACACGUGUAUAUAUGAAUGAUAACAAUACAAGAAAAAUGUCCAAUAGUUUCCGCUAGCCAAUUUAGCGGCGGUUUAGCGUUGAUGUUGGAACUGCUGUUAAACAACUCAAAACUAACAUGUAACGUUGGCCAUGUGUUGAAGCUAGGAAUGAUUUGGGAUUUGUUAAAGUUGUCGUGUUAUGAAGAAGUGGUCACGACUUGGUGGAUUUAGAGGGCAAGGAAUAAUUGUUGUAUGGAGAAUUUAGCUACGCGGGAGAAAGAGACAAUGGUGUGCGUCAUGUCUUUGAAACAUGGAUUAGAAGAUGUAGGCUAAUCGAGUAGUUAGUGCAAAUGGAGUAGAUUGGUAAAAUGGCUAGGGCUUGACCAGAGACGGAUUCAACUACAACACUGAGGGCAUUUGCCCUCACUUAGUUUUGAAAAGAAUCAUUAGAAAAAAAAAAUUGAGUAGUAAAAGUAUGUGAUUUUUUAUGGUUUUUUUUGUAAAAAAAUGCUCUUACUUGUAUUCCACAUUGAUAAAUGUCCUCAUUUAUAUUCCAUAUUGCAAAAUGCUCUCACUUGAGUAGUAAAGUAUGUGGUUUAUUAUGAUUUCUUUAGUAAAAAAUGUCUCACUUGUGUACCUUUUUUUGGUAAAAGAUGCACUUACUUCUAAUAGUAUCUAUUAAAAAAAAUUAUACAAAUUUAUAGGUAUAUAUUGCCCUCACGACAUCAAAUUUCUGGAUUCGUCACUGCGCUUGACACUAGGUAUAUUGCUCCUAAUGUUGAUGGUAUUGUGACUAUUGAUCCAGUGACUCAAUGAGGUUUGAGUUUGGAGGGUGCUUCCUAAAUAGAGAGGGGGAGUGGCUUGGGAGUUGGGACCUUCCAUGAUUUUUUGGUGCCUCAGACAUCUUGCAUAUGGAGCUAUUUUCCAUGUGCUUGUUCUUGUCUAGAAUAAGGGGUACUAACAGUACCUAUGUGGUUUCUAUGAUUCGUUACAUGCCGCCUCUCUUGUGAAAAAUGUUUCUAAUAGUUGCCAUAAAUAUGACUCAGUUAUUUGGAAUAUUAAGGACCUGAUAGCAAGACAAUGAAAUGUCACUGUUUCUCCUAUCCUUCGGGAAGGAAAUAGUUGUGCUGAUUUCUUAGCCAAGCUUGAAGUGCAAAAGGGUGAGGGGUUUGUCUUUCUUCACGAUCCUCCUAGUGAGCUAGAUGGAAGUCUUGAGACAGGGAUUUUGCUCAGAGUUAGUGUUUCUACGUAGUUUUUGUUUUUAUUUUGUUUCGGGGCUUGGGCGUAGCCCUGCUCUUGAAAAAGAAAAAAACCAGUCGUUACUUUUCCCCCUUUGAAGGUGUAAAAUAAUUUAUUUGAACACGAGCUCAUUUCUACCAGCCCAAAUUAGUUGAUCAAGUGAACAUUCAUCAACAAACAACUUAUUAUCAACUUCUUCUACUUUUGCAUCUGAUAACUUGUUGAGAAAAUCAAGUGUGAGUUUGAAAUCUCAAAUGGAUCAAAGUGAGAGGGUUAAAGGGUAUAUAAGUGAUAAGAUCCCAAUUCCUUAAGAUUUUGGAUAAAGAUGUGAUGUCAGUUUCUUAAUGGUCUUCUUUAUUAGCCCAGUGUGGUGUGUAGAGAGAUCUCUCAUGCAGCCAUACCCCUUCGUGACGCAACAAGCCCAACUAAGUAGGUACGGGCAUAAAUUAAGUUACUACUCUUGCAGUUGUGGGUCAUUGAGGGUUAGCUCAAGUGGUAAGAGUCACGAAACAUAAGGGUUGGGUGGGCUGAAGGAUGAAGGGUCCAGGGUUCGAACCCUGAGGAGAGACUAAUUUACUAACAUUACUAACAACAAACAUUUGCCUAUAAAAAAAAAUACUCUUGUGUGGGGGGUCGUCUUUCUUUUAUGCUGGUUAGACAUAUUGCAUGAGAUGACGACUUCUUAAUUCUUAUGGUCAUAGAUAGAGAAAUAAAUAGUGACUGUUAAAUUUAAGUAUUCAAGAUUAAAAUACAUGGUCAAUACUUUAUAUACCCUGUUCAUGCCAACUUGAAGCCAACACGUACUCAACCUUUAUAAUACUCCCUCCGUUCCUGAUCUUUUGUUGUUUAAGGUUAUGCACAUUGUUUAAGAGUGCAAUUAUUGAUAUAUUUGCUGACAUAAACACCCCUAUUUAAUGUUGAGUUAGAGUGAAGAGAGAGAAUGAUAGUUAUUGGUUAAAAAAUUUGUUAUUGUUUUGAUUGGUGAAAAUAAGUGGUGGUAGGUGAGAAAUAUAAUAUUAAAUGAGGGUAAACAUGGAAUAAAUUGAGAAAAAAUGCAUUGGAUUUGUAAAACAACAAAAGUUUUGGAAUUUAGGCCAAAAGUUAAAACAACAAAAGAUUAGAAACGGAGGGGGUAUGCAACAACCGAAAUAACUCAUGCACAUGCUCCUCUGUCAUAAAGAUUGCUAUAUAUGCCACCUUCUCCACAUAAUCUCAACUACUUAGCUCCACUACACUAAAUGAAUAUAGACCAAAGUCACACAAUACAGUUGAUACGAGAGUGAUUGAUUGGUUAAGUAAACAGAAAAAUCGGAUACCAAACUUAAACAGAUCAAUGGUUUUAAGCAUUUUGUUAA